UUGCUAGGUCUCACAUGCUCAUUUUUGACAAUGUACCUAUAUGCAUCCAAAUUCAUUGCAGCAAGACAGAGCACUACAACGUCGGCUUUGAUACGGAACGUUUCUAGCAUUUGAUGCAUGCUUUCUCGUUCUGCCUCUAUUUCAUUCUCGAAUUCAACAAGAGUGAUAAGCCGUAGCCUACAACCUUGUUUCCAAUCUGAAGCUGUAUGAAGGAUCCAACUAAGUUGAAAAACCAUAGUAUACGUCUCGAAAUUCGUCGCAAACGUUGGUGUACUUUCAUUGACUUCUGACCCCACACCUGAUAUUCUAUGAAUGGGAAACAUAUCUAUAUAUUGCUUUUCUCCCUUUCUUUUUGGCCAAUUAAGUCUAUCGAACCCAUUAGUUACCAUAACGUCCACCGAACCAACAAGCAUGUCUUCCAAUAUCUGUACCCACUUCACAGGUAGUAUAUCAUGCUCCACAAAUUCUUUUUUACUGUCAGAUUCUGAUUCUUCACUAGUAUUCUCAAGAGAGAAAGAAGAACCCGAGUAUAUACGAUGUCUACGAUAAUUCGUAUUAAUAAAUGUUAGCACAGCUAUGUUUGGACGAAUUCCCCCCAAGCCUGCAGAAGAUAUAAGACCACGGAUACCCCAAACUUCGUCUGGAGCAAUAGUUAGUUCAACAAAUGCUUUGAUACCUCGAUCAAGGACAAACUGAUGCCAAAGACGUUGCUGCUUUCUUAAAUCAUCCAUGCUAGCCUGAAAAUCAUCGGAUA
Schizosaccharomyces pombe (fission yeast) is the source of this 754-nucleotide non-coding RNA. Lineage: Eukaryota; Fungi; Ascomycota; Schizosaccharomycetes; Schizosaccharomycetales; Schizosaccharomycetaceae. The record is from the annotation of a GenBank genome assembly.